This is a non-coding RNA of Camellia sinensis, 431 nucleotides long. The record is from RefSeq and is a predicted model, not a curated record. NCBI's taxonomy places the organism in Eukaryota, Viridiplantae, Streptophyta, Magnoliopsida, Ericales, Theaceae.
GAGAUGCCGGCAAUAUAACUUUGGCCAUUGAAUCUUAUGAGCAAUGCCUUAAACGAACAUUUUUUCGUUUGUUCUUAGAGUCAUCAUAAAUCUACAAAACCUACAUUGCAGAACUAAAGGAUGCGAGGAUCCCAUACAAAGAUAGCCCGAAACUGUUGGGGCUUUUACUGGAAUUUUCAAGUUCAAUUCCUUCUUUAUUUGAUCAAUGGAAGAAUUUUGCUGGGCUGCUGCUGCUGCUGUAAUGUUGCUGUGAAGCGGGCUGCUACUAGAUGCUGGUCUGCUGCAAAUUUGGGUGGUUGUUAGUUUCAUGAUUUCAUUUUGUUAUCUGCUGUUUUUACUAUGGGUUCACAAUUUGGAUGUAUUUGUGUAUUUUAGUGAGUUUACCCUUUUAGGUUUUAUACAACGCUUCCAAAAGCAUAUUUUUCAGCAGU